AUCUGUAUCACCACUUGUUUGGUGGAUUCUCUCCAUUGUUGUAGUGUUUUUGAUGUCUUACUUUACUGCAUUCAUGGAAGCCU
Molecule: small RNA, 83 nt
Filed under: Filamoeba nolandi
Lineage: Eukaryota; Evosea; Variosea
Description: partial transfer-messenger RNA
Source: RNAcentral